AUGGUUUCUUCAGAGAUUUCUGUGAAUUGCUUUGUCUUGCUGGUGCUCCAGUGCUGGUUCCUUUUGACACGACCCAGCUGGUGUGGGAUACAGCAGUUUCAGAUAAAGAAUGGCUCAUUCUCGUUCAGCACGGGACUUUGUUGCACUUUCAGAUCUGCAUCCAAACCUUGCUCGUCCUGUAAGUCUCACAGC
This 192-nucleotide long non-coding RNA is filed under the name Zonotrichia albicollis (white-throated sparrow). Its description in RNAcentral is "lncRNA (ENSZALG00000003070.1)". Lineage: Eukaryota; Metazoa; Chordata; Aves; Passeriformes; Passerellidae. The record is from RNAcentral.